RNAcentral lists this small RNA (17 nucleotides) under Arabidopsis thaliana (thale cress). RNAcentral's name for it is "ATSL245310". Lineage: Eukaryota; Viridiplantae; Streptophyta; Magnoliopsida; Brassicales; Brassicaceae. The record is from RNAcentral.
UUUUUUUUGUGUUUUUA